Molecule: microRNA precursor, 87 nt
Filed under: Sorex araneus (European shrew)
Lineage: Eukaryota; Metazoa; Chordata; Mammalia; Eulipotyphla; Soricidae
Description: miRNA (ENSSARG00000016915.1)
Source: RNAcentral
UGUGAGGGUACGUGUGUGUGUGUGUGUGUGUGUGUGUGUGUGUGUGUGUGUGUCCUGCUACACGCAUGCACACUCCCGCCCCGACCC